AUUCUGCCCAUGCGGGGAAGGAUGAGAAGCUUCAACCAAGGUUCGACUUGAGCGCCAGCGAGAGAGCGUUGCCGCAGGCAACGACCCGAAGGG
RNAcentral lists this small RNA (93 nucleotides) under Escherichia coli. RNAcentral's name for it is "partial RtT sRNA". It matches the Rfam family "RtT RNA", at positions 1 to 91 of the family's 130-position model. Rfam says of the family: This family represents a bacterial cis-regulatory element known as RtT RNA. The exact function of RtT is unknown although it is thought that it may be involved in changing the cellular response in relation to amino acid starvation. The record is from RNAcentral. Lineage: Bacteria; Pseudomonadati; Pseudomonadota; Gammaproteobacteria; Enterobacterales; Enterobacteriaceae.